Molecule: non-coding RNA, 228 nt
Organism: Vicia faba (fava bean)
Lineage: Eukaryota; Viridiplantae; Streptophyta; Magnoliopsida; Fabales; Fabaceae
Source: the annotation of a GenBank genome assembly
AUGCAAAGAUUGAUUAAAGCUCCAAUGCUAAUGACUGACACAGAGCAAGUUCAAACUACUGUGAAGCAGAGAAGGUUAUUGGAAAACUUCAUACAAAGGGCUAUUCUCCUUCCAAAUUUUGGUAAACUUGAAACUUUUUCGGCUACAAGUUUCAAUUUUCCUACUUUAUUAGAAACUAAAGGGAUUAUGGACAUUGUAUCUGAUUCAGGCUGUAUUAUCCAGAUUUGA